GGGGCUGUAGCUCAAUUGGUUAGAGCAUAUUCGGUUUUUAACUCUCCUUUUAUCCCGAAUAGUUUACAGGUUCGAAUCCUGCUCAGCUCCUUCA
RNAcentral lists this transfer RNA (94 nucleotides) under Neobacillus cucumis. Its description in RNAcentral is "Bacillus cucumis tRNA-Lys". It matches the Rfam family "tRNA". From Rfam's summary of the family: Transfer RNA (tRNA) molecules are approximately 80 nucleotides in length. The record is from RNAcentral. Lineage: Bacteria; Bacillati; Bacillota; Bacilli; Caryophanales; Bacillaceae.